This 62-nucleotide transfer RNA is filed under the name Gregariella coralliophaga. Its description in RNAcentral is "tRNA-Thr". The record is from RNAcentral. Lineage: Eukaryota; Metazoa; Mollusca; Bivalvia; Mytilida; Mytilidae.
ACUUUAAAAGCUUUGCAGUAAGCAUUAGUUUUGUAAACUAAAGAAGGUUUAACCUUAAAGUG